RNAcentral lists this ribosomal RNA (292 nucleotides) under uncultured bacterium. Its description in RNAcentral is "partial 16S ribosomal RNA". It matches the Rfam family "Bacterial small subunit ribosomal RNA", at positions 505 to 796 of the family's 1533-position model. The record is from RNAcentral.
GUGUCAGCAGCCGCGGUAAUACGAAGGGUGCAAGCGUUGUUCGGAAUCAUUGGGCGUAAAGCGCGCGCAGGCGGAUCAGUAAGUCAGAUGUGAAAUCUCGAAGCUCAACUUCGAAACUGCGUCUGAAACUACUAGUCUAGAGUGUCGGAGGGGGAAGGGGAAUUUCACGUGUAGGGGUAAAAUGCGUAGAGAUGUGAAGGAACACCGGGGGCGAAGGCGCCUUCCUGGACGACUACUGACGCUGAGGCGCGAAAGCGUGGGGAGCAAACAGGAUUAGAAACCCUGGUAGUCC